GCAUUGGUGGUUCAGUGGUAGAAUUCUCGCCUGCCACAUGGGGGACCCGGGUCCGAUUCCCGGCCAAUGUA
This is a non-coding RNA of Danio rerio (zebrafish), 71 nucleotides long. The record is from Rfam. Lineage: Eukaryota; Metazoa; Chordata; Actinopteri; Cypriniformes; Danionidae.